UACAGAGGUGGCAAGCGUUGUUCGGAAUUACUGGGCGUAAAGCGCGCGUAGGCGGCUUUGCAAGCCGGAUGUGAAAUCCCCGGGCUUAACCUGGGAAUUGCAUUCGAGACUGCAUUGCUGGAGUACGGAAGAGGAAGGCGGAAUUCCCGGUGUAGCGGUGAAAUGCGUAGAUAUCGGGAGGAACAUCAGUGGCGAAGGCGGCCUUCUGGUCCAGUACUGACACUCAAGUGCGAAAGCGUGGGGAGCAAACAGG
This 253-nucleotide ribosomal RNA is filed under the name uncultured bacterium. Its description in RNAcentral is "partial 16S ribosomal RNA". It matches the Rfam family "Bacterial small subunit ribosomal RNA", at positions 524 to 776 of the family's 1533-position model. The record is from RNAcentral.